AGUGAACGCUGGCGGUAGGCCUAACACAUGCAAGUCGAGCGGCAGCACAGUAAGAGCUUGCUCUUACGGGUGGCGAGUGGCGGACGGGUGAGGAAUACAUCGGAAUCUACUUUUUCGUGGGGGAUAACGUAGGGAAACUUACGCUAAUACCGCAUACGACCUACGGGUGAAAGCAGGGGAUCUUCGGACCUUGCGCGAUUGAAUGAGCCGAUGUCGGAUUAGCUAGUUGGCGGGGUAAAGGCCCACCAAGGCGACGAUCCGUAGCUGGUCUGGGAGGAUGAUCAGCCACACUGGAACUGAGACACGGUCCAGACUCCUACGGGAGGCAGCAGUGGGGAAUAUUGGACAAUGGGCGCAAGCCUGACCCAGCCAUACCGCGUGGGUGAAGAAGGCCUUCGGGUUGUAAAGCCCUUUUGUUGGGAAAGAAAAGCAGCAGGUUAAUACCCCGCUGUUCUGACGGUACCCAAAGAAUAAGCACCGGCUAACUUCGUG
Molecule: ribosomal RNA, 492 nt
Filed under: uncultured bacterium
Lineage: Bacteria
Description: partial 16S ribosomal RNA
Rfam family: Bacterial small subunit ribosomal RNA
Source: RNAcentral